UAGACCGUACGACUAGGAUCAUUCUUAGAGUAUGUCACUUUCUAUGUAACAAAUAGAAUUCACAAAAUAGGAUGAAGACUUUCAUUACUUCAGUGCCAAAGGGAGAUACGCAGAAAUGCACGAUGAACUACUUGUUGAGGGGUCGAGUGCGUUCACAACACUCUGAGAUGAGAGGCACUGAAGUCUGUCUGACUAUU
Small nucleolar RNA from Entamoeba invadens IP1, 197 nucleotides. It matches the Rfam family "Small nucleolar RNA U3". From Rfam's summary of the family: Small nucleolar RNAs (snoRNAs) are involved in the processing and modification of rRNA in the nucleolus. There are two main classes of snoRNAs: the box C/D class, and the box H/ACA class. The record is from Rfam. Lineage: Eukaryota; Evosea; Mastigamoebida; Endamoebidae.